AGCUACGUUAUAUGAAAUGAAUUAUGCGUAUGCGUCUUAUCUUCAAAGGUGGCUCUAACAGUGGAUUUUGCUCUGCAUUUUAUAUUGCAUAAGCUGGCAGUGGUUUAACUCCUUUCUGAUUCCCAGGGACAUAUGUUUCAUUAAUGCCUGAUCCUGAGCGACCUGGUUCAGCAUAUAUUUUGCCAAACUGCUCCAUCCCUUCGAUAGAUGCAACCGUUUCCCUGUGUCCUGGAUCAUCCUUGAGAUUUGUCAUCACAAAGGUGAGCAGAAGCUGGGCUGAUGGCGGGAGCUCACCUCGACCCGAAUUUGAACUACCAACCUUCCAAUAGCUAUUAUGUGCAUCUUUGCAGUGAACAAUGCUGAAGAAAAGGAUACAAUUUGAUGGCCUCCCUGAUCAGAGUCCAGAAUUCAUUGCAAUUGGUGCUGGGUGCCAAGAUGCUGCUUACAACGGGGGACUGAGCCAGAGGUGAUUUAAAACCAACUCACCCCCCGCACAAACACUCUUUUGAUCUUCACUUGGUGACCCAUCCUCCCACCGUCAAUUAGUUUGAGAUUUCCUGGUCACUCCAGAGUCAGGAUCAUUGAACUUGGCUCCAUAUCCAAUGCGGAAAAGCAAGUUAAUAUGAUCAUUCAUGAAGAGAGGUGAGAUAAUAAUAAUAAUAAUAAUAAUAAUAAUAAUAAUAAUAAUAAUAAUAAUAAACAAAGAUUUCAAAAUCAUGUGUUUUGAGCAUGGGACUAUAACUCUGGAGACAAGGAUUUGAUUUCCCCCUCUGCCAUCGAAACCCACUGGGUGACCCUGAGUGAAUCACUUCCUUUCAGCCCCAGAACCUGUGAUAAGGUCACCUAAAUCCGAAAUGACUUGGAUGCACACAACAUUAGCAACUUGACAUGUGAUAUGUUAAAUGUAAGGGAAUCUGUCCAAAUAACCACACAAACAAUGCCAUCUGGAAGAUGACUAGAAAAAUGUGAUUCUUCUCCUCCUGCUCCAUUGUUUUAUUGCUACACUCACUGAGCUAUCUUUCCAGGAACAUUCAGCAGAACCGUUCCAUUUCUUCAGGUAUCCUCAAGAGAAAGAACGUUGCUUUGGGGUGCCAUUAGAUAAUAUAUCUCUUUUCCUAUCUCAUCAGCUCAAUAA
Molecule: long non-coding RNA, 1135 nt
Organism: Anolis carolinensis (green anole)
Lineage: Eukaryota; Metazoa; Chordata; Lepidosauria; Squamata; Anolidae
Exons: 5
Source: RefSeq, a predicted model, not a curated record